UGUGGAGAUUGUCUCAGUGUUUUCUAGCCAGAUUGAAGGCUUCUAUAUUGGAUGUAAAACAAGGUAUUUCACUGACCUCUGGAGAUUGAUUCUUUGAAAUGUGUUUGUCAUAAGCACAUUCACAUCAUAGGCAUCAUGCAGUUAUCCCUUCAAGGGAUUACAAUUUAUACAAAUUAUGGAGUUGUGGAAUCAUAGAAUAUCUGAGUUCAGGAAGGUCAGUGGGAUGAAAUUUGGUUUGGAGGCAUCAAAAAAAAAAAAAAA
Coturnix japonica (Japanese quail) is the source of this 261-nucleotide non-coding RNA. NCBI's taxonomy places the organism in Eukaryota, Metazoa, Chordata, Aves, Galliformes, Phasianidae. The record is from RefSeq and is a predicted model, not a curated record.